This 483-nucleotide ribosomal RNA is filed under the name uncultured bacterium. Its description in RNAcentral is "bacterial SSU rRNA". It matches the Rfam family "Bacterial small subunit ribosomal RNA", at positions 17 to 518 of the family's 1533-position model. The record is from RNAcentral.
UUAUGGCUCAGGACGAACGCUGGCGGCGUGCUUCAUACAUGCAAAGUCGAACGAUAAGGUCUCUUCGGAGAUACAUAAGUGGCGGACGGGUGAGUAAAAUGUAGAGAAUCUGCCCUAGAGAUGGGGACAACAGUUGGAAACGGCUGCUAAUACCCAAUAUGAGCGUAGUUGAAAUACUAUUCUUGAAAACUCCGGUGCUCUGGGAUGAGUCUGCAUCUGAUUAGCUAGUUGGGGGUGUAAUGGACCACCAAGGCGACGAUCAGUAGCUGGUUUGAGAGGAUGAUCAGCCACAAUGGGACUGAGACACGGCCCAUACUCCUACGGGAGGCAGCAGUAGGGAAUUUUGCGCAAUGGGGGAAACCCUGACGCCAGCAACGCCGCGUGAAUGAAGAAGCCCUUCGGGGUGUAAAGUUCUGUCAGUAGGGAAGAACAAAUGACUGUACCUACAGAGGAAGCAUCGGCUAACUCCGUGCCAGCCGCCGC